Apodemus sylvaticus (European woodmouse) is the source of this 729-nucleotide long non-coding RNA. RefSeq lists it as uncharacterized. The transcript is spliced from 3 exons. The record is from RefSeq and is a predicted model, not a curated record. NCBI's taxonomy places the organism in Eukaryota, Metazoa, Chordata, Mammalia, Rodentia, Muridae.
UCCCCCAGCCUUCCCUACUGACCACAGGCAGCAUGCAUUGUGUGUGUGUGUGUGUGUUUGUACAUAUAUGUAAACAUCGUCUUCCGGCCCGAGUUUCUGAGGAAAUCCAGGCUCCCCUUCCUCCCACUGUGCACUUGUCUGUCCUCCCAGGCCCACGCGGCUGCUGAGUUAGUAAUGUAAUAUUCAGGGACCCCGAGACCGGAAAUGCCUGGGUCUGAAAGCUGCACUUGAAACACGAGAAAAGGGAUGGAGAAAGUGAACGUGGGAUGUAGACGUAGGAGGUGUGUGGGGUGGACUGUGGAGGUGAAAAGCCGCCCAACUUGCAAUUCAGGGGUAGGCGAGGAAGAAAACGAGGGAUGAGGGGGAGGCUGAGGCAGUUGCAAAGUCAAAAUUCCAGGAGCCAGAGGAGGAGGUGGAGGAAGCAGACAUGAGGGCCGAGAGAAGGAGAGAGGGGGCACAAGAAAGGCUCUGCAGGUGUUGCAGGGCUGUGUUUAGGGACACCAGAGGUGACCCUCAAACGCCUAUAAAGGAGGGGACUCGGAUCCCAGCAGCAAGAAAUGUAUGUGGCCCUGGCAGUCCUGGAACGUACUCUGAAGAUCAGGCUGGCCUCCAUCUCAGAGAUCAGCCUACCUCUGCCUCCCAAGUGCUGGAAUUAAAGGUCCUGAGUUCAAAUCCCAGCAACCAUCUGUGAUGAGAUCUGAUGCCUUCUUCUGGUGUGUGAAAACAUCU